RNAcentral lists this long non-coding RNA (669 nucleotides) under Brachypodium distachyon (stiff brome). Its description in RNAcentral is "long non-coding RNA (BDIS_LNC003088)". Lineage: Eukaryota; Viridiplantae; Streptophyta; Magnoliopsida; Poales; Poaceae. The record is from RNAcentral.
GCGCACCGCUGCGGCCUCCUCGCCGCUGUCGGUCAGAUAGGACAGGUGAAGUGGCGGAUGGGCUCAUCUGCGAAGAUUGGUCAGCACUGGUCAGCAGAAGGCUUCAGGGUGUCAUCUCAGUCCUCCUGGUGAGGCUCUUGGUCAAGGGAGACGCCAAAAGGAGGUUGGUGACGGGGGACGGCAGCGACCGGCGGCGGCGCUCGUCGUGAGUUUGCCAGAGGGCUCGAAUCCUAAAAUAGACAGAGGGGAAAGUAGAGUUAGGUGUUGGUGAUGCUUUAUCUCAAAGGAAUUGAAAAGACAAAGAAGGAGUUCGUCAGCAUCGAUGGUGCGGCCGAGGUGGCGCACCUCCCCGGAGACGGGGAAGAACAACUCGCUUGGCGAUUUUGUGGAUUAGCAGCAGAUUUUGUGGAUUACCAGUGUUGCAGCGGGCUCAGCCAUGUGAGGGGAUGGCUUUAAUAGGCCACCGACGGCAAAGUCUAUGGCGAGCUGCAGGGCGCAAACUCGGUGAGAGUUCUGGAGAUGCAGCAGAGAAGAGUUUCAGGAUAUCUCCAGGCACGGGGAAUGGAAGAACGGCCGAGGGGCAGUCGCCAUGAACAGCGGAGAGGCAGCGGCACAACUCGCCGGAGAUGAAAAGAAAGACGCGCGGCUUCGAAUUUGGCCGGGUGAGAU